GCCCGAGUUGUCUAAUGGUUAUGACGUUGCUUUCCGGCCUUGGCUGCUUAACCGUUGUCUAAUGGUGGUAGGCAGAGGUUGCGGGUUCGAAUCCCGUCUCGGGUU
Schizophyllum commune H4-8 is the source of this 105-nucleotide non-coding RNA. The record is from Rfam. NCBI's taxonomy places the organism in Eukaryota, Fungi, Basidiomycota, Agaricomycetes, Agaricales, Schizophyllaceae.